UUAUAUGAGAGUUUGAUCCUGGCUCAGGAUGAACGCUGGCGGCGUGCCUAAUACAUGCAAGUCGAACGAGAUUUUAUUAAUUGAUUACUUCGGUAUGAUUUUUCUAAAAUCGAGUGGCGGACGGGUGAGUAACACGUGGGUAACCUGCCCUUAAGUAGGGGAUAACAUUUGGAAACAGAUGCUAAUACCGUAUAAAUCUCAGAAACACAUGUUUCUGAGCUGAAAGGCGGCUUUCGAGCUGUCGCUUUUGGAUGGACCCGCGGCGUAUUAGCUAGUUGGUGAGGUAAAGGCUCACCAAGGCAGUGAUACGUAGCCGACCUGAGAGGGUGAUCGGCCACAUUGGGACUGAGACACGGCCCAAACUCCUACGGGAGGCAGCAGUAGGGAAUCUUCCACAAUGGACGAAAGUCUGAUGGAGCAACGCCGCGUGAGUGAAGAAGGUUUUCGGAUCGUAAAACUCUGUUGUUGGAGAAGAACACGUUUGAGAGUAACUGUUCAGACGUUGACGGUAUCCAACCAGAAAGCCACGGCUAACUACGUGCCAGCAGCCGCGGUAAUACGUAGGUGGCAAGCGUUAUCCGGAUUUAUUGGGCGUAAAGCGAGCGCAGGCGGUUUCUUAAGUCUGAUGUGAAAGCCUUCGGCUUAACCGAAGAAGUGCAUCGGAAACUGGG
RNAcentral lists this non-coding RNA (671 nucleotides) under Lacticaseibacillus manihotivorans DSM 13343 = JCM 12514. RNAcentral's name for it is "Lactobacillus manihotivorans DSM 13343 = JCM 12514 Bacterial small subunit ribosomal RNA". It matches the Rfam family "Bacterial small subunit ribosomal RNA", at positions 1 to 637 of the family's 1533-position model. The record is from Rfam by way of RNAcentral. Lineage: Bacteria; Bacillati; Bacillota; Bacilli; Lactobacillales; Lactobacillaceae.